Molecule: ribosomal RNA, 436 nt
Rfam family: Bacterial small subunit ribosomal RNA
ACGGGAGGCAGCAGUGGGGAAUAUUGGGCAAUGGGCGAAAGCCUGACCCAGCAACGCCGCGUGAAGGAAGAAGGUCUUCGGAUUGUAAACUUCUUUUAUGUGGGACGAACAAAUGACGGUACCGCAUGAAUAAGCCACGGCUAACUACGUGCCAGCAGCCGCGGUAAUACGUAGGUGGCAAGCGUUAUCCGGAUUUACUGGGUGUAAAGGGCGCGUAGGCGGGGAAGCAAGUCAGAUGUGAAAUCCAUGGGCUCAACCCAUGAACUGCAUUUGAAACUGUUUCUCUUGAGUGCUGGAGAGGUAGAUGGAAUUCCUAGUGUAGCGGUGAAAUGCGUAGAUAUUAGGAAGAACACCAGUGGCGAAGGCGAUCUACUGGACAGUAACUGACGCUGAGGCGCGAAAGCGUGGGGAGCAAACAGGAUUAGAUACCCUGGUA